This 824-nucleotide ribosomal RNA is filed under the name uncultured bacterium. RNAcentral describes it as "bacterial SSU rRNA". It matches the Rfam family "Bacterial small subunit ribosomal RNA", at positions 1 to 842 of the family's 1533-position model. The record is from RNAcentral.
CCUUAGAGUUUGAUCCUGGCUCAGGAUCCUUGCUGGCGGCGCGCCUAACACAUGCAAGUCGAACGAGAGAGAGGGAGCUUGCUUCCUCAAUCGAGUGGCGAACGGGUGAGUAACGCGUGAGGAACCUGCCUCAAAGAGGGGGACAACAGUUGGAAACGACUGCUAAUACCGCAUAACGUAUCGGGAUGGCAUCUUCCUGAUACCAAAGAUUUUAUCGCUUAGAGAUGGGCUCGCGUCUGAUUAGAUAGUUGGCGGGGUAACGGCCCACCAAGGCAACGAUCGGUAGCCGGACUGAGAGGUUGAACGGCCACAUUGGGACUGAGACACGGCCCAGACUCCUACGGGAGGCAGCAGUGGGGAAUAUUGCACAAUGGGGGAAACCCUGAUGCAGCGACGCCGCGUGGAGGAAGAAGGUCUUCGGAUUGUAAACUCCUGUUGUUGAGGAAGAUAAUGACGGUACUCAACAAGGAAGUGACGGCUAACUACGUGCCAGCAGCCGCGGUAAAACGUAGGUCACAAGCGUUGUCCGGAAUUACUGGGUGUAAAGGGAGCGCAGGCGGGAAGACAAGUUGGAAGUGAAAUCUAUGGGCUCAACCCAUAAACUGCUUUCAAAACUGUUUUUCUUGAGUAGUGCAGAGGUAGGCGGAAUUCCCGGUGUAGCGGUGGAAUGCGUAGAUAUCGGGAGGAACACCAGUGGCGAAGGCGGCCUACUGGGCACCAACUGACGCUGAGGCUCGAAAGUGUGGGUAGCAAACAGGAAGAGAUACCCUGGUAGUCCACACCGUAAACGAUGAUCACAAGGGGUUGGAGGAUUGACCCCUUCA